GAUGAACGCUGGCGGCGUGCCUAACACAUGCAAGUCGAGCGAAUAGAUGAGGCGUUUGCCUCGCUGACGCUAGGGGCGGACGGGUGAGUCACACGUGUAUACCCUACCUAUGAGACUGGGAUCACUUCGCGAGCGCGGAUCCAACACCGGACCAUAUAUUGAACCGCAGGGUUCUUCAGUGCAAGACGGCUUUGCUGUCACUUAUAGAUGUUUCCGCGCCGGAUUGGCUAGUUGGUAGGGUAACGGCUUACCAAGGCUACGAUGCGUAGCCGACCUGAGAGGGUGAUCGGCCACACUGGAACUGAGACACGGUCCAGACUCCUACGGGAGGCAGCAGUAGGGAAUCUUGCGCAAUGGGCGAAAGCCUGACGGAGCAACGCCGCGUGAGUGAUGAAGGUCUUCGGAUCGUAAAGCUCUGUUAGUAGGGAGGAACAAAUGUGUAAUUAAACAUGCCCGUCUUGACGGUACCAACUCAAAAAGCACCGGCUAACUACGUG
Molecule: ribosomal RNA, 497 nt
Filed under: uncultured bacterium
Lineage: Bacteria
Description: partial 16S ribosomal RNA
Rfam family: Bacterial small subunit ribosomal RNA
Source: RNAcentral